AUGUGUGCCCAUUAUACACAACAUGGGAUUUAAAUAUAUAUCUUCAAAGGCUUGCAAGUUUUAAUGAUGGUUAUAUUUUGGUUUUAUGAAAUUGUUAGUUAUACAUAUGAUUUAUUUGAAGCUAAAGUUUUGAAGUACUAGGACCCCUGAUUCUAAUUUGUUUCUAUACCCUUGGCUUUAUGAUGCAAUCCACUUUUUGACACAGGUCCCAAGAAUGUGUUCUAGGAAAAACAGGAGCCUUGUUUUCUUUAUUGAUAAAUUCUAUUUAUUGAUAAACAUUAAUAAAAUACAUAUGUUUAUAUUUGUGCAUUCUUUACAUGUUAUAGAAAUUAUAUAUGGAGGGAAAUCUAAUGUCUUAAAACUAUUAGGAGAAUUUUGACUAUACAAUAAAAUGCCAAAGU
This 401-nucleotide long non-coding RNA is filed under the name Bos taurus (domestic cattle). Its description in RNAcentral is "long non-coding RNA NONBTAT023460". Lineage: Eukaryota; Metazoa; Chordata; Mammalia; Artiodactyla; Bovidae. The record is from RNAcentral.